RNAcentral lists this ribosomal RNA (253 nucleotides) under uncultured bacterium. RNAcentral's name for it is "partial 16S ribosomal RNA". It matches the Rfam family "Bacterial small subunit ribosomal RNA", at positions 524 to 776 of the family's 1533-position model. The record is from RNAcentral.
GACAGAGGGGGCAAGCGUUGCUCGGAAUCACUGGGCGUAAAGGGCGCGUAGGCGGGAUGGCAAGUCGGUCGUGAAAUCCUUCGGCUCAACCGAAGAACGUCGGCCGAUACUGCCGUUCUUGAGGGAUGCAGAGGAGAUUGGAAUUCCCGGUGUAGCGGUGAAAUGUGUAGAGAUCGGGAGGAACACCGGUGGCGAAGGCGGUUUCCUGGCCGAGUACUGACGCUGAGGCACGAAAGCGUGGGGAGCGAACGGG